This 265-nucleotide ribosomal RNA is filed under the name Enterobacter cloacae. RNAcentral describes it as "partial 16S ribosomal RNA". It matches the Rfam family "Bacterial small subunit ribosomal RNA", at positions 1 to 264 of the family's 1533-position model. Lineage: Bacteria; Pseudomonadati; Pseudomonadota; Gammaproteobacteria; Enterobacterales; Enterobacteriaceae. The record is from RNAcentral.
AAAUUGAAGAGUUUGAUCAUGGCUCAGAUUGAACGCUGGCGGCAGGCCUAACACAUGCAAGUCGAACGGUAGCACAGAGAGCUUGCUCUCGGGUGACGAGUGGCGGACGGGUGAGUAAUGUCUGGGAAACUGCCUGAUGGAGGGGGAUAACUACUGGAAACGGUAGCUAAUACCGCAUAACGUCGCAAGACCAAAGAGGGGGACCUUCGGGCCUCUUGCCAUCAGAUGUGCCCAGAUGGGAUUAGCUAGUAGGUGGGGUAACGGC